This 297-nucleotide ribosomal RNA is filed under the name uncultured bacterium. RNAcentral's name for it is "partial 16S ribosomal RNA". It matches the Rfam family "Bacterial small subunit ribosomal RNA", at positions 475 to 776 of the family's 1533-position model. The record is from RNAcentral.
CUAUGCGCCUUGCCAGCCCGCUCAGGUGUGCCAGCCGCGCGGUAAUACGGAGGAUGCGAGCGUUAUCCGGAUUUAUUGGGUUUAAAGGGUGCGUAGGCGGAUUUUUAAGUCAGCGGUAAAAUGUCCGGGCUCAACCCGGGCCGGCCGUUGAAACUGGGGAUCUUGAGUGGGCGAGAAGUAUGCGGAAUGCGUGGUGUAGCGGUGAAAUGCAUAGAUAUCACGCAGAACUCCGAUUGCGAAGGCAGCAUACCGGCGCCCGACUGACGCUGAGGCACGAAAGCGUGGGGAUCGAACAGG